UGGGGAAUAUUGCACAAUGGGGGAAACCCUGAUGCAGCGACGCCGCGUGAACGAAGAAGGUAUUCGUAUCGUAAAGUUCUGUCCUAUGGGAAGAUAAUGACAGUACCAUAGAAGAAAGCUCCGGCUAAAUACGUGCCAGCAGCCGCGGUAAUACGUAUGGAGCGAGCGUUGUCCGGAAUUAUUGGGCGUAAAGGGUACGCAGGCGGUUUAAUAAGUCGAAUGUUAAAGAUCGGGGCUCAACCCCGUAAAGCAUUGGAAACUGAUAAACUUGAGUAGUGGAGAGGAAAGUGGAAUUCCUAGUGUAGUGGAGAAAUACGUAGAUAUUAGGAGGAAUACCAGUAGCGAAGGCGACUUUCUGGACACAAACUGACGCUGAGGUACGAAAGCGUCGGGAGCAAACAGG
Molecule: ribosomal RNA, 403 nt
Filed under: bacterium
Lineage: Bacteria
Description: partial 16S ribosomal RNA
Rfam family: Bacterial small subunit ribosomal RNA
Source: RNAcentral